Molecule: ribosomal RNA, 253 nt
Filed under: uncultured bacterium
Lineage: Bacteria
Description: partial 16S ribosomal RNA
Rfam family: Bacterial small subunit ribosomal RNA
Source: RNAcentral
UACAGAGGGUGCGAGCGUUAAUCGGAAUUACUGGGCGUAAAGCGUGCGUAGACGGUUAUUUAAGUCGGGUGUGAAAGCCCCGGGCUCAACCUGGGAAUUGCAUUCGAGACUGAAUAGCUAGGGUACGGUAGAGGGAAGCGGAAUUUCCGGUGUAGCGGUGGAAUGCGUAGAUAUCGGAAGGAACAUCAGUGGCGAAAGCGGCUUCCUGGACCAGUACCGACGUUCAGGCACGAAAGCGUGGGGAGCAAACAGG